AAAGUGGAGCAAUCCAUGAGUAGAGUGGCAAACGGGUGAGUAACGCGUGGGUGACCUGCCUUCGAGUGGGGGAUAACGCUCCGAAAGGGACGCUAAUACCGCAUAACAUCCUGCCUUUUAAGAGGUGGAAAUCAAAGCCUGGGACCGCAAGGCCAGGCGCUGGAAGAGGGGCCCGCGUCUGAUUAGCUAGUUGGUGGGGUAAUGGCUCACCAAGGCUUCGAUCAGUAUCCGGCCUGAGAGGGCGGACGGACACACUGGGACUGAGACACGGCCCAGACUCCUACGGGAGGCAGCAGUGGGGAAUUGUUCGCAAUGGGCGCAAGCCUGACGACGCAACGCCGCGUGGAGGAUGAAGAUCUUCGGGUCGUAAACUCCUUUCGAUCGAGACGAAUGGCCUCUGGGUGAACAAUCCAGAGGAGUGACGGUACCGAGAGAAGAAGCCCCGGCUAACUCCGUGCCAGCAGCCGCGGUAAUACGGGGGGGGCAAGCGUUGCUCGGAAUUACUGGGCGUAAAGGGCUCGUAGGUGGCCAACUAAGUCAGACGUGAAAUCCCUCGGCUUAACCGGGGAACUGCGUCUGAUACUGGAUGGCUUGAGUUUGGGAGAGGGACGCGGAAUUCCAGGUGUAGCGGUGAAAUGCGUAGAUAUCUGGAGGAACACCGGUGGCGAAGGCGGCGUCCUGGACCAACACUGACACUGAUGAGCGAAAGCCAGGGGAGCAAACGGGAUUAGAUACCCCGGUAGUCCUGGCCCUAAACGAUGAAUGCUUGGUGUGGCGGGUAUCGAUCCCUGCCGUGCCGAAGCUAACGCAUUAAGCA
Molecule: ribosomal RNA, 817 nt
Filed under: uncultured Pseudomonadota bacterium
Lineage: Bacteria; Pseudomonadati; Pseudomonadota
Description: bacterial SSU rRNA
Rfam family: Bacterial small subunit ribosomal RNA
Source: RNAcentral